GAUGAACGCUGGCGGCGUGCCUAAUACAUGCAAGUCGAGCGAACGGACGAGAAGCUUGCUUCUCUGAUGUUAGCGGCGGACGGGUGAGUAACACGUGGAUAACCUACCUAUAAGACUGGGAUAACUUCGGGAAACCGUAGCUAAUACCGGAUAAUAUUUUGAACCGCAUGGUUCAAAAGUGAAAGACGGUCUUGCUGUCACUUAUAGAUGUAUCCGCGCUGCAUUAGCUAGUUGGUAAGGUAACGGCUUACCAAGGCAACGAUGCAUAGCCGACCUGAGAGGGUGAUCGGCCACACUGGAACUGAGACACGGUCCAGACUCCUACGGGAGGCAGCAGUAGGGAAUCUUCCGCAAUGGGCGAAAGCCUGACGGAGCAACGCCGCGUGAGUGACGAAGGUCUUCGGAUCGUAAAACUCUGUUAUUAGGGAAGAACAUAUGUGUAAGUAACUGUGCACAUCUUGACGGUACCUAAUCAGAAAGCCACGGCUAACUACGUG
RNAcentral lists this ribosomal RNA (497 nucleotides) under uncultured bacterium. RNAcentral describes it as "partial 16S ribosomal RNA". It matches the Rfam family "Bacterial small subunit ribosomal RNA", at positions 28 to 507 of the family's 1533-position model. The record is from RNAcentral.